This is a long non-coding RNA of Bombus huntii, 6227 nucleotides long. RefSeq lists it as uncharacterized. The transcript is spliced from 3 exons. NCBI's taxonomy places the organism in Eukaryota, Metazoa, Arthropoda, Insecta, Hymenoptera, Apidae. The record is from RefSeq and is a predicted model, not a curated record.
UUAUGUCAGAUAAAAAGCAAAUUGUCCUGAAUUGUAAAAAUUAUUAUUAAAUACAUACACAAUCAAUUAUUUAAUCCGUUUCACUUAUUAUUCCAUUUUGCCAUAAAAAAAUGCCAUUAAAGAUAUCUCUAAGCCUAAUUAAUCCUCUGUACUUAUUUUUUACUGUUACGUUAUCAGAUUCGGGAACAAAGAUUCCGCACAAUUUGGCCAAGAAAAAUGUUUACCAAGACAGUAAAGAUAAUAUAAAGAUCCUAUAUAACGAAGCAUACGCAAAAACGUAUAAUCUUCAAAUGGAGACAAAUUAAUAUAUAAAUGAAUUAAUUUCAUUUCCCAUUAAAAUUCCACCGCGCCUCUCUACUUUACAAAAAAGGUAAAAACUAUCGUAAGUUUCGAGUGAUCCUAAUUCGAUGACCAUGGACUGUACACGACCAUGUGCUGUAUGAAUAGGGGGGCGUUUUCGCACACGCGUGCCUGAUGUUUCUUAGUCUCUCGUUCGUUUUCUGUCUCUCCGCUGCGCACCUUGACACAUAUAGAAAUUACGAAAUCGGAGGAGGAGCGCGGUUCGAACGGGAGCAACGGAGCUUUCGUGGCAUUAAAUUCCGAUAUACGCCGGUGACGGAUAUACGUAUUGCGCGUAAUUAGAGCGCGCUCCAUCGGUUUUUGCGAGAUCGUUGCACCAUCGAAAAGAUUCUGACGUUGGAGUGCAAGAGGUGGCGAGAAUCGAUGCUGUAUAGUACGACGGCUUGACUAUUGGUGUUCAUUAUCGGUGUUCAUUAGUAGUCGUAGAAUUUCUAGUUUGGCUUUUGGUUCGUUAGAACGCUGCCAAUCGAUUUUUUCGAGAUCGUUACACCAUCGAGAAGAUUUCGAUGUUGGAGCCCAAGAAGCGAACUAUCGAUGCAGUAUGGUAUGGCUUGGCUAUCGAUGUUUAUUAUUAUCGUUACGUUCAUUGGUAUUCGUAGAACUUCCAAGUUAAUUUUGGUUAAUUAGAACACGGUCCGUCAGUUUCUGCGAGAUCGUUGUACGCAGGCACAAGCUAAAUUUCAAUGAUGCUCUAAAACGUGUCAUUGGCCUCCCGCGUUGUCAAAACAUCGUGUGGAUAUGUUUCUACUUGGGGGUAAACAUACUCGUUAAGAAACUCGAACCACUAAUGAACAAUGCGAGUAUUCAGAGAAUCGUAAAACUAUCAACGUGAUAAUUGACAAAAUAGAUAAGCAAUACAAAUUUUACUAUCACCUUGAAGAAUAUCAUCUAUUGAGAAGUUCGAACGACGGAAAGCAAUUGAUGGUCGUGAAAACCCAAUGGACUAUCGAUAGUAUAAUACACUUAUCGGUAUGUCAAACAACAUUGACACGAUUUCUUCUAUAUCUCCUAACGAAAACAAGUUGAUACAUAGCGUAGAAAAUACUUGUGCUUCUACAACAAUAAUAAUUUACUCGCCUAGCAAUGAAUUUAUUUAUUUCUGCUCAUGUAAUUUUGUUUACGAUAAAUGAAUAAAUAUUAAAAAUAGGACACAGUGAUUUGUACCGCGUAGAAGAUGAAUUAGCGUGUCUUUGCUGGUAGAAUAUCACGAUAAAAUUGCUUUUUAAGGGCUAACACGCGAUAAAAAAAAUUCACAUUUGCAUUUUAUCGAACCAUGUGGGUCAAUCUUUUUUUUCUUGCUUGAAAAGUACUUUAUCUUCAGGUUGAUUGAUUCACAAAUUAUGAGUCAGACAGGGAAGGUUGUUCUAAUCUGACAGAAAAAAUAUUGGCAUAUCCAAGCAGUGAUAUCUAAAUCUGAUGAUUCUCGUAAUAUAAUGACCAGAUGCCGGACACCGUCAUAUGAAACAGUUCACCAAUUGCUCAUCGGCCAGAUACUUCCUCCAUAAGCAAACAAAAAUCGGGUAUACUGUAUCUCAAAAAUCGUCAUACGAUAUCAAAGAACAACUUUAUGGAAAGUAUUUGAUCAUUGUAUAUCAACUGAUUAUUAAUAGACUGCGGCUCUUUAUAUAAUUGUCUUUUUAAACGCACGUAAAGAAAUGGAAUCUAAAAUUUUCUUCAGUUUCUAGAUAUUGUAACAAGUACUCUACUUCCGAUUCUUGAUAUAUAAUUGUGCAUUCUCUGUAUUUUAAUAUUCACCGAUUCAUUGUCAUCGAUUACCAAUCAUAAGCCUCUUGCGUCGAUAAAUCAAGAAACAAACAUAACAUUUUUCAAAUUCUUGUUAAAAUGUGAAUUGCGCGUUAAUCAAAAGCUUCUUUCAUAGUCGAAGUACACUAUUCGUCAAAAAAUCGUCGAAUUCUAAAUUCUAAACAUCGGACCAGCGAAGUACGUUGGUCAGUGGAAGAGUUCGCGAACUAUUAAUAAAGUCUGGGCCUUUUGUCUUCAAGGUCGCCGAUUCGAUGAUAUCGAUGUCGCGGGUUUCCUACAAAAUAGUGGUAUAAAUACGCGUCGCGUUAGAAAAUAACGGCGCAGUUCAUGCUCGAUUCUCGCCCACGAGUUCGCGUUUCACGCGGAACUUUCCUGGCAUCAACGGAAACCGUUUCUGCCUGCGUGCAUCAUCGGCCGUUUCCGGGAGAGAGGAAAAUAAAAAAACGAUGAUUUAGAGCCAACGUGGUGGAAUUAGCGCGAAAAUAUCGCGUAAACGUUGGUUUAACGACAAAGAAGCGCAACGUUUAUGACAGCAUUCAAUACACGAACAAUACGUCCCUGUCUCGUACAGUGACUGCUGUUUGAUAAAUUUUCACAUCCAGUUUUAAAAACAUCUAUCCGCCACAGAAUCACCGCUAGCAAAUAUAUAUUUAGUCAGUGAAAUAUUUUGAACAAAUUCCACAUCCAUAGACACGACUGUGUUACAACGAAGAAGAGGCUUAGAAACGAUUCUUUAACGUACAUUCUGAGAAUGAGAAUAUUUUUUUGACAAGAUUUCUCCUCCUCUUUGAGCUUCCAUAGCCGAAUCUCAAGCUUCGAUGUUUAUCUGCUUGAUAACAGGGUUGAUAAGGAACUUGUUUUUCCAUUGAGAAAUAUAUUUGAUUUCGCGUGAUUAAAAAUUGAUAGUGAAUAAGUAUAGCGUACAGUUAUUCGACUGGUUUUGCUAAAUUUUGUACUACUUGUUCGACACAAUCGAUUAUGCGUCCUUUGUGUCCUGUAGAGUUGUAUAUCGGAAUCAACAACGUGACGUUCAUGGCCCUAUACUACUUGUCUGACAGAGCCACUGACGCACAGCGACCUAUACUACUUAUUCGAUACAAACGAUGACGCACUGUAUGCGUCCUAUGAAACUUACUGAUCACAGGACAUAAUGUUUAUGGCCCUAUACUACUUGUCUGAUACAGCCACUGACGUACAACGCGCACGCUGUACUACUUAUUCGAUACAAACGCUGACGCACCCUAUGCGUCUUAUGAAAUUUAGUAAUCACGGGACACGAUGUUUAUGGCCCUGUGUUACUUGUCUGAUACAGCCACUGACGCACAGCGUGCGACCUAUAUGUUCGAUACGAACGAUGACACACUCUAUGCGUUCUAUAAAACUUGUAUAAUCGUAAGACGCACUGUUUACGAUUCUAUACUAUUUGUCCGACACGAUUACUGACGCACAGCGUGCGACCUAUGCUUCUUAAACGACACAAACAGUGCAUAGUUAUUAAUCGUGCCAAUGAGAGAAAAUAAAUUUGAACAACAAAUGGAUACAAGUCAAGCUCCGAAGUGAACGAAUUAUUGCGACAUAAAACCUCUUUCUAGACAUGUACUCUAGACAGAAUUCCAAUCUAAAAAUUGGUAAUUUAUAUCUUAAAUACAUUUAGUAACCUUUGUGACAGGCAUACGAUGUAAAUUACAAUUACAAAUGUCCUGAAAUUAAACAAACCUGUAACCAAAAUUAUCAUAUAACGAUCACUUGUGAACGAAAAAGAGUUAUCCAAUGAAUUUGGGAUCAAAUCCCUAAAGCAACUAGGAAGUGGAAAGAACAAAGGCCGCGAAGAAAGAAGAUGAACCGACCAUACCACUGCGAUCUCCAACUGUAUUUCUCCGCUCGACGUUCGCACGCGUGUUUAUCGUGGUCGUGCGUACGAGCCUGCCAAAUAUAACCAAGAAGCGUGAAACGCGUGCGCCACGAUCGCCUCGUAAGAGCAGAGGCGAGCUAGAAAGCUCGCGGCGGGCUAGUCGUCAGCCGGCUCGUUUAAAUGUUAACGCGAGUGGCUGGUUAACUAGCGCUUUACUCGCUUGCUCUCUGGCUGUUUCAUUGGCCCGUUCCAUGUCACCGUUGCUGCUGUCGCGCUAUGGCAGAGGGCCAACCGAAACAAGUACACGCGUAGGCGAAUCGCGUGUUAGGCUAAGUUCUGGCUUAGAUCUGGAUGAUCGACGUCCGGAUCAUUACCGGGGUCUUGGCUUCUUUCCUCUUGUUUGGACGAUCGGCUUCGACCGCCACAGGGUGAUUCGUGGUGGAAUUUUCUUGGAACCGACACGAAGGAGGAGCAAGAAUGGUUUUGUCUUACGCGGGUGCCUCAGCUUCCGGCGAACCGGCUUCCCUGCCGGCGCGUUUCCCGACGACGAUGCGGAGGACGACGGUGUUGCGCUGGCCAUCUGGCGCAAACUCGCACUAAAACCGCGGCGAAACCGCGUGACGAGUCCCCCUCGAAAAUAGUCGCCGGUCGAAAAUAGCCGACGCUGGCUAAGAAAGAAGAAUCAUCGGCAUUUGCUCCGGGUACACGCGUCGCCGCGCUAGUUGCAUCGCGGCCUUCUCCAGAGGCUGAUUCCCCAUGUGUGCAUCGCGUACCGAUCUUCCUCUAUCUUCUUUUCGGUCUUUUUCUUCCACUAAAUCGUUUCCUCUUUUUCCUAUUUUCUCUCGGGUUACGUUCGCGCAUUGUUUGAACUUUUCUCACUCAAUUUACCCUAUCACAUUCUGUCUGUAAAAAAUGAAUUCCAAAGGUUCGCUUAACAUCUUUCUAACACAUUUCUUCUACUUGGAUUUUACAAUUUUAUGAAAUUUCCACAGAUUUAUGAUAAAUCAUUGCUCGCUCCUUGAUGGGAUAAUCGAUGGUCUUCAAAUACCGCAAAAAUCCAUCGCUAUGCUCCUUCUACCUCCUAAGAUAGAUGUAGAAUUUGACUUUUUCUUCUCGCUUCAUUCCGUUCUUCUUUGCUCUUUGAUCGAUCCUUUUCUUUUGCUCGUGUCCACGUAUUUAUAUCGUCCAGAGGUCUGUCGAACGGGACGCGCAAGAGACAACACGGAUAUCCUUGCUUUUCAUAGAUACCGAUAGUGGAGACACGCAGGGGGAGCGAGUUGUAUACGUGGGGGAUGAUUCGCCAGAUCUACGUUCCAGCGAAUGCAAUGUGAAAAAUUCACGAGAAGAUAAUGGACUAACCGCAAAAAUCAAGGCUUGUGUACAUGGUGGACGUAUACACCAUGUGUAGACAUCCUAUGUUAAUAUAUCUUUAUUCAAUAUAUCGUGUAUUGCAUUGUGUGCGUGUGUGACCACGUGUAGAAUUUUGUUAACCAUUCACGAACAGAAACCUUGUGUGACGCACAUCUGUAAAUAAAAGUCUGUAUAUGCUUUGUAGAACUUUAUGAACAGUCUGUAGACAUUCAGAAACUUAAUGCGACGUACAUCUGCGGACAAAAAUUUGUAUGCGUCUCUUUAUAGGAUUUUAUGAAUAGUCUGCAGAUAUAUAGAAAUUUAUAUUCGCAUUUUAUAAAAUUGGUGUAUUUAAAUAAGAAGAUAUGUUCACAAGUAUAACUUUAUAUACUUUACACAAAAUUCACAUAUUUGUAAAUGUUUGUAUUGGCAUUGUGUACAGAUAUGCGUUCGUGCAUAAGGAUUCUGAUAUCUACAAGCAGCCUGCAUGAAUUUCUAAAAGAUGCACACGCAAUAUGCUAUAAUAUGCAGCACACGAUAUAAUAGUUCACACGCAAUACUAUUUGCAAGUUUGUACACAUCUUGGUAACUGAACUUUUCAUCCCUUGCGUGUACGACAUUUACAAAAAAAAGAAAAAGAAAUUAGGACAGAUUACUCAUAUUUUGUAACUUUUUACUCCUGUUAAUUGCUGACUGCAGCAGAUGUAAUUAUUUAAAACCAAUGUAGUUCUUUUUUCAGUAAAACCUUUGUUAAACAUACAUAUAUAUGUUCUUCAUCUUUAAACACCUAGAUUCAACGAAUAUAUGAAACAGAUAUCCUUGAACCACCAAGUCUUCAAACCAUUAAUCUUUGAAUGAAAAUAAUAUUUUACCACCCAAAAAAUAAAGAAUAUUUAAAGUA